RNAcentral lists this ribosomal RNA (1347 nucleotides) under uncultured bacterium. RNAcentral's name for it is "bacterial SSU rRNA". It matches the Rfam family "Bacterial small subunit ribosomal RNA", at positions 28 to 1381 of the family's 1533-position model. The record is from RNAcentral.
GACGAACGCUGGCGGCGUGCUUAACACAUGCAAGUCGAACGAUGAAGCCUAGCUUGCUAGGUGGAUUAGUGGCGAACGGGUGAGUAAUACGUGAGUAACCUACCUUUAACUCUGGGAUAAGCCUGGGAAACUGGGUCUAAUACCGGAUACGACCAAUCUCCGCAUGGGGUGUUGGUGGAAAGCGUUAUGUAGUGGUUAUAGAUGGGCUCACGGCCCAUCAGCUUGUUGGUGAGGUAACGGCUCACCAAGGCGACGACGGGUAGCCGGCCUGAGAGGGUGACCGGCCACACUGGGACUGAGACACGGCCCAGACUCCUACGGGAGGCAGCAGUGGGGAAUAUUGCACAAUGGGCGCAAGCCUGAUGCAGCGACGCCGCGUGAGGGAUGACGGCCUUCGGGUUGUAAACCUCUGUUAGCAGGGAAGAAGAGAGAUUGACGGUGCCUGCAGAGAAAGCGCCGGCUAACUACGUGCCAGCAGCCGCGGUAAUACGUAGGGCGCGAGCGUUGUCCGGAAUUAUUGGGCGUAAAGAGCUUGUAGGCGGUUUGUCGCGUCUGCUGUGAAGGCCGGAGCUUAACUCCGUGUAUUGCAGUGGGUACGGGCAGACUAGAGUGCAGUAGGGGAGACUGGAAUUCCUGGUGUAGCGGUGGAAUGCGCAGAUAUCAGGAGGAACACCGAUGGCGAAGGCAGGUCUCUGGGCUGUAACUGACGCUGAGAAGCGGAAGCAUGGGGAGCGAACAGGAUUAGAUACCCUGGUAGUCCAUGCCGUAAACGUUGGGCACUAGGUGUGGGGAACAUUCCACGUUUUCCGCGCCGUAGCUAACGCAUUAAGUGCCCCGCCUGGGGAGUACGGCCGCAAGGCUAAAACUCAAAGAAAUUGACGGGGGCCCGCACAAGCGGCGGAGCAUGCGGAUUAAUUCGAUGCAACGCGAAGAACCUUACCAAGGCUUGACAUAUACUGGACCGCAUCAGAGAUGGUGUUUCCCUUCGGGGCUGGUAUACAGGUGGUGCAUGGUUGUCGUCAGCUCGUGUCGUGAGAUGUUGGGUUAAGUCCCGCAACGAGCGCAACCCUCGUUCUAUGUUGCCAGCACGUUAUGGUGGGGACUCAUAGGAGACUGCCGGGGUCAACUCGGAGGAAGGUGGGGAUGACGUCAAAUCAUCAUACCCCUUAUGUCUUGGGCUUCACGCAUGCUACAAUGGCCGGUACAGAGGGUUGCGAUACUGUGAGGUGGAGCUAAUCCCUAAAAGCCGGUCUCAGUUCGGAUUGGGGUCUGCAACUCGACCCCAUGAAGUCGGAGUCGCUAGUAAUCGCAGAUCAGCAACGCUGCGGUGAAUACGUUCCCGGGCCU